This is a non-coding RNA of Triticum aestivum (bread wheat), 135 nucleotides long. The record is from Rfam. NCBI's taxonomy places the organism in Eukaryota, Viridiplantae, Streptophyta, Magnoliopsida, Poales, Poaceae.
CAACUACUCCCUCCUUUCCGAAUUACUUGUCUUAGAUUUGUCUAGAUACGGAGAUAUCUAGCACUAAAAUGAGUCUAGAUGCAUCCGUAUCUAGACAAAUCCAAGAUAAGUAAUUCGGAACAGAGGGAGUACCUA